This is a long non-coding RNA of Lolium perenne, 599 nucleotides long. RefSeq lists it as uncharacterized. Lineage: Eukaryota; Viridiplantae; Streptophyta; Magnoliopsida; Poales; Poaceae. The record is from RefSeq and is a predicted model, not a curated record.
AAUUGCUAAGAGGAAACAUGCUUUCUCUACCAUUUUACCUUACUGGUACGGCCAACAGAAGCAAUGAAUGAUUUUAUAGGGUAAUAAGCAGGCAUAUAGGGCUGGCUAAUCACAUCUACUAACAACAAACAAUGGAAUGAGAGGCUGCUUGAUGUUGUCAUUGCCACCUCCGCUCGCGAAUUCGUUUGUCAUUGCCACAGUUUCGUCCAAGAAGAGGCAGAGGAUAGGCGCGGGGCGCUGUUGGGGGAAGCAAGAUGACAGCAAGUAGUGCGACUGCACAGCGGGAGCCUGAGAGGAAGAUGUUGUUGAUUCAGGAGCAGUGACAUCAAUCCCAUGGUCGCCCAGAUUUCACAAUGGUGGCGCUCAUGGCCAUCAGGAUGGAGAUGCUGACUCACUAUAGGGUGUUGGACAGCUGGGACAUCAGCUCCGCCGACUCCUCCACAACUGAGAAUCUCUACAUGACUGUCAGUAUGUGGAUUAUGAUGUCUGCAGGUUUGUUUUCCAUAUUCGUGCACAAUGCAUCAGAAUGGAUAUCUGAUCACUCAACUAUAAUACUGACUGGGUGUUUUAUUAUCUUUUAAACAAACAAACAUAUUUUC